ACUCUCCUCGAGUUAGCCGAGCAGUGGCCUCCUCGACGCCGCAGCAGCCACUCGAUCGCAUAGGCAACGCUCAAGCCACUACCGGCUGAGUCUCCUUCUCUCCUCUCCUGGUCGCGGACACUGGAACUCGCUGGAAGAUCAAGCAUCCAGCUGAACCUUCUUCUUUUGGUCCUCUACGACGCUGUGCCCUAGUAUGGUUGUCGAUUCUCUCUGGUCGUGGUGAUCUUGAGUAAGUACUCUUCAUAGUUUGUUAUUUGGGGAUCUAAUCUCUAAGUGGUACUGAUCAGGAGUGAUUGUUGAGGAAACAGUGCUAUAGUUGGCUCCGGUCAACAUUAUCGUAGACAGAAGAUAGCUUCCUUCGUCAGAUCCUUGAUCACCACCGUUAAUUGGAGAGUAAUAUGCAGAUCUAGAUUUGGGUAGGUAAAAAGGAAUAGGGCAGCAGUAAACCUCUGUUGACAGCUGCGUAUUACCAUUAACCACCUUCGAAUUGGGGAUUCAGAUUCGGAACGAGCACAUCGACAUAGAGGUUGAUUAGCUCGAUCUACAUUGGAGGCGGAUACCUUGACCUAUCUAUUUUGAUACGUCUUGUUGAUAUGUUUAGUAUAUUUUAACAAGAAGUAAUAAUUAUGAUUA
Long non-coding RNA from Zingiber officinale, 633 nucleotides. RefSeq lists it as uncharacterized. The record is from RefSeq and is a predicted model, not a curated record. The transcript is spliced from 2 exons. Lineage: Eukaryota; Viridiplantae; Streptophyta; Magnoliopsida; Zingiberales; Zingiberaceae.